AACGAACGCUGGCGGCAUGCCUAACACAUGCAAGUCGAACGAUGCCUUCGGGCAUAGUGGCGCACGGGUGCGUAACGCGUGGGAAUCUGCCUUUCGGUUCGGAAUAACUCAGGGAAACUUGAGCUAAUACCGGAUAACGUCGCAAGACCAAAGAUUUAUCACCGAAAGAUGAGCCCGCGUAGGAUUAGCUAGUUGGUGAGGUAAAGGCUCACCAAGGCGACGAUCCUUAGCUGGUCUGAGAGGAUGAUCAGCCACACUGGGACUGAGACACGGCCCAGACUCCUACGGGAGGCAGCAGUGGGGAAUAUUGGACAGUGGGCGAAAGCCUGAUCCAGCAAUGCCGCGUGAGUGAUGAAGGCCUUAGGGUUGUAAAGCUCUUUUACCCGGGAAGAUAAUGACGGUACCGGGAGAAUAAGCCCCGGCUAACUCCGUG
RNAcentral lists this ribosomal RNA (433 nucleotides) under uncultured bacterium. RNAcentral's name for it is "partial 16S ribosomal RNA". It matches the Rfam family "Bacterial small subunit ribosomal RNA", at positions 29 to 507 of the family's 1533-position model. The record is from RNAcentral.